This is a non-coding RNA of Podarcis lilfordi (Lilford's wall lizard), 3476 nucleotides long. The record is from the annotation of a GenBank genome assembly. NCBI's taxonomy places the organism in Eukaryota, Metazoa, Chordata, Lepidosauria, Squamata, Lacertidae.
CAUACAACAACAAUAACAAAAGAAAUUGCCUGAUAUUGCGAAUAAAAUAUUCGACACAUAUUUGACUGUCAAACCAUAUAUUCUUGGGCCUUCCCUUGUACAUCUAGGUGUCAGAGUUUGAAGUGUCAGAGUGAGUAUCACAGUCAUCAUGGGAAUGCCGCUGAAACAGCCUCCCCAUAGUGGCAUAUCCUUCACAAAUAUAAAAAGCUAUUGAGCAUUGUAUAGGGAUUGGCCAUCACAAAUCGACUCCACAUUUCUGGCUGCUGGCAAGUGCUUCUAAAUGUUACAGACCAGGCAGGGAUCGCUUGAUAUGGGAAGCUAUUUUCAGCACCAUUCCCAUGGCAACUCUGAAGUGUACACCAGCAUAUUGCAAAUAUGAAGACAGAUUUAUAUUUUUAAAAAAAUACAAAAAAACACAACCAUGUGAGUUGAAAUUGCUAGGCAAUACUGAGUGAAAACUGGAGUGCGUAGCUACUGACAUGUAAAAAAAAGAGAGAUACAGAGAGGAACGAAGCAAACAUGGAAGAGUGUGAACUUACUCUUCACCUAGUUCAGACAUUAAAGUUAUUAUAUGGCAGGGCACAGGAACAAGCUAGGGAUUGUACCCUCUCCCCCCCCACAAGCAUAACCUUUAAUGCUAGCACAUAAAUACUUUGAUUAGUAGCUCCUGCUCCCAACAUCACAUCAACCCCUUUUCACAAUAGAUGGGCUUUCUUGUGUAGGCACUUGCGCAUGCAAGGAUCAUGUGCGACAUGGGACAGUAUGCAGAUCUUCACUCCUGUGUGCUGUUGCAUGUGGAAUCUUUGAGUUGAUUGCAUGUCCUGAGAAGUUCAGCUCUUUAUCUUAAAGCAGGCAUAGGCAAACUCGGCCCUCCAGAUGUUUUGGGACUACAACUCCCAUCAUCCCUAGCUAACAAGACCAGUGGUCAGGGAUGAUAGGAAUUGUAGUCUCAAAACAUCUGGAGGGCCGAGUUUGCCUAUGCCUGUCUUAAAGCUCUGCCACAUGUAGCUCCUCAGUAUCAGAGAAUGGUUUUGGGAUAUGUGUUCAUAUAUUUUAAAAACCAUUAACUAUCUACUCCCAACAGUACACGAGGCAUAUAUAAGGCUGUAUUGUGCAUCAUUAAUUUUAUGUUUGGACCAAGGCAGAGGCAACGCUGCUGUAAUUACCUCUUUCAAGCUAAUAAUGCCUGUCAAUGCACAUCCCUACAAAAACCCAGAAAUGUAUUGUGAAAUCUUUUGAUAGGAAAAUACAUCUAAAGAGUCAUUGUAAGGUUGCAGUUCAUGCCUCCUGUGGUCAUCACAGAUUGCCAUUAACACCACAUUGUGGCAGAGGUUAUUAUCAUAUGCUCAUAAAUAUCUACUUUUUGGAGGAAUGUGCUUUAAAAGUUACACACUAGGCUCAUGAUCUGGGAAGUGGGCCCUAGGGGUGGGGUCACAAGCCCUGGGACUCUUCAAGUACCUGAACCUAUAAAACUGCCUUACUUUAGGCUCAUCAACUGCAGUUAAGGAUGGGUGAGCAACCUGGUGCUCACCCAGGGAAAUCAACCAGGCCCUUUGAGGACUCCUGUUCACAAAACCUUCAAGAGGUUUACAAGUGACCAAAAAGAACAUUCAGAGGGUCCAGUGGAAGCCUAAAAAGCAUAGAGGAAAAUUAGUGUGAAUCAAACAUAAAUCUCAGUGGUAAAGUGUCAUUUGUAGUUCAAUCCCAUGAUAAGCGAUAGCAAAGAUGCUCAGUGUACCAAGGCGCCCUUGUUCCCUGAAGGAAGGGAACAGGGUGGCAGCUAGUGGAGAACUGGGUGUGCGAGCAAAAUGGACACAGUGGUGUGUUGUGGCUGCUGCUGGAAGGCACACAGUAACUGGAUAUCUCCCCUCUGUCUCCCCAAGAUCCAGAGUGUGAAUUGCUCACAGCACCCGGAAGAAGGGUAAAUAGAUAAAUCCAAAAAAUUACUAGAGCAGCUACAUACCCAGUUUCCAGGAAAGAAAAUGAAACUUAAGUUUGGAGGGCUUUUUUAUCUGUAAGCUGCAUUUAGUCCCUAUCAGGGAGCAAAGGAUAGUGUGGGUGUUCAAAAGAUCUGAAACCACAGACUAACUUGGAAUCACAAAGUGAAUGAAAGGUGUCAAAACCACCAGCAAUUUAUGCUCCUACUAUAACUUCCCACUUAUUCAAAAUAAGCACCAUUUCAUUUUAUUAGCUGCUAUUUGUUCUGCUUCAUAAAACACAAGGUUUCCCCCUCCCUGCUGAAAACCACAGUGGCCUGUUUUUGUCAUUGUACUAUUGGGAAAAAGUUCUCUUAAAGGGAGAAAAUGGCUGCCUUUGAGUUUCCAGAGUUAGUCUUGUUGACGUGUUUGUGUUUCCUUAGUCUUGUUGAUAUAUUUGCUUCUUGCAAUAUCACCAUCCUUGCUACAUUUUAGCACUCCUGCACCUAGUCUGCUACUCACCCAUCUCAAGUAAAGGAGUAAUAGAACCAAACAACAUCAGAUAAUACUUAGAGUAAAUCACAGUUUAAGAUGGCCAACCCGUUAUACAAUGAGACCUAAAGCAAAAUACAAAAACAUUGAGGGGCUAACUGAAAUAGCCACCUGAGAUUAUUGUAGGGAUGGCAGUGCCAAAAUAACCCAAUAGAAAUACAGUGGUACCUCGGGUUACAUAUGCUUCAGGUUACAUAUGCUUCAGGUUACAGACUCCGCUAACCCAUAAAUAGUACCUCGGGUUAAGAACUUUGCUUCAGGAUAAGAGCAGAAAUCAUGCUCUGGCGGCGUGGUGGUAGCGGGAGACCCCAUUAGCUAAAGUGGUGCUUCAGGUUAAGAACAGUUUCAGGUUAAGAACGGACCUCUGGAACGAAUUAAGUACUUAACCCGAGGUACCACUGUAGUCACUGGGGUUUUCUGUGGAAAUUUGCUGCUUGGGGAUAAAGAAGAAGAAGAAAGAAUUCUAGCUAUAAACUUCCCACAUCAAUAGUCACCACCCCUAAGGAUGCCAGUUGACCUGUUUGCAACUCAUGAGCACCCUAUGUAACUGAUUUUUUUAAAAAAAAAAAAACAAAACAAAACUGUCCAAGAGCUCUCUUACUUGGUUUGGGUUUGUGACAUUCCAUAAUUUAAAUAUAUAAAUUUAUUAAAUCACCAUGAUCAUGAUCAUCCACCGAGAGUUCUCAAAACUCAUCCACCAUGACAACAGUGUUUGAACAAUGUAACAUCCAACUUCAGCAACACAAUAAAAUGGCAGUUUCCAAAAACUGACUGAAAAAUACUACAAGCAUCUCUCUUCAAACAAAACUAGACAGAAGACAGUAUUUAUCUAGGUUUGGAGAAACAUGUCGGAAGAACCCAAACACUAAUUUGGUACUCACCUUAUUUUAAAGGAGAAGGUGGCAAGAUCGAUGACAAAAACUGCAGAGGGAAAUAGCUCCAAGUCCACCUCCUAGAAAGGUCUGGAUGGCAGAACCACCGUGCAAUGCUGCUGUAAAGAAAUGUAAA